UACGGGGGGGGCAAGCGUUGUUCGGAAUUACUGGGCGUAAAGGGCGCGUAGGCGGCCUGCUAAGUCACACGUGAAAUCCCUCGGCUCAACCGGGGAACUGCGUGUGAUACUGGCGGGCUCGAAUUCGGGAGAGGGAUGUGGAAUUCCAGGUGUAGCGGUGAAAUGCGUAGAUAUCUGGAGGAACACCGGUGGCGAAGGCGGCAUCCUGGACCGAGAUUGACGCUGAUGCGCGAAAGCUAGGGGAGCAAACGGG
This 253-nucleotide ribosomal RNA is filed under the name uncultured bacterium. RNAcentral describes it as "partial 16S ribosomal RNA". It matches the Rfam family "Bacterial small subunit ribosomal RNA", at positions 524 to 776 of the family's 1533-position model. The record is from RNAcentral.